This is a long non-coding RNA of Pelmatolapia mariae (spotted tilapia), 258 nucleotides long. RefSeq lists it as uncharacterized. The transcript has 3 exons. The record is from RefSeq and is a predicted model, not a curated record. NCBI's taxonomy places the organism in Eukaryota, Metazoa, Chordata, Actinopteri, Cichliformes, Cichlidae.
GCAUCUCCCACCAGUGUUCUUAGGGUGGUUUUCAUUGGAGAGGCAGGCGUGGAUACAGGAGCACUUAGGAAAGAGUUUUUGAGUGACAUGAUUUCAGGUAUUGAAAGCAGAUUCUUUGAAGGACCUGAGAACAAGGGCAAAAACCCCAAGUAUUCUCUGACCGAUCUUGAUAAUGAAAACUUCAGAACUGUUGGUGAAAUAAUUGCAGUCAGCCUCGCCCAAGGAGGCCCAUCUCCUGCCUUUUUCAAAGAAUGGUGC